Non-coding RNA from Lolium perenne, 645 nucleotides. The record is from RefSeq and is a predicted model, not a curated record. NCBI's taxonomy places the organism in Eukaryota, Viridiplantae, Streptophyta, Magnoliopsida, Poales, Poaceae.
UGAUCUUGUGUACUAAUCGUUUGUGCAUGCAGGAAUGCUGACCUUGGCUGCAGAAUCGCAAAUGGAGUGCUGCUCACAUGUCACUGCAAAUUCGUAAAUUUGGAAUGUCCUUGACAUUGUCCCAGUAGUCACCUCCCCGUUUGCAUCUUCUUGCUAGAGCAGGACAAUGCGAAAUAUGGAGUGUUUCCAGGCUGUGCAGCCUCUGCUGGAGACCUUUAGGGACUUCAAGCUUGGGCAUUCCAUAAUAUCCAACGAUUCUAGGGUGUCAUGAGAGCCCAAUCCUUCAGGUAUAGACUCGAGUUUAGAAAUGCCCCGAAUAUUAAAUUUUUUUAGGGAGGUGAAUGUAGGGAAUGCCACCAAGUUUGGGCACUUCAAAAUCUGCAUGCAUUCCACAUUGUGCAGGCCCUCAUCUGCUGAUGGCUUCACUGAAAGUAAAGCUGUGAAGUUUUUACAUCGAUUAAUAUAUAACCGUUUUAGUGAAGUCAAGCUUUGCAAUUCCCCCAAUGGCCAAAAGGUGAGACUAUCACAGUUAAAGAUAGUUAAGCAUUCCAAACUGACAAAGAGUUCCCAAAAACAAAAUGGUGACUGAAGGAUAUCUGGUUGGAUGAAGAAAUCACAACAACUGAGAUGCAAUCUCUUAAUAUA